AGAAACCUCUUCUCCCGCCUGCCACAAGAGUCCUACAAAAAGACUAAUGUAUCCCUGGACGAAUUAGCUGCUCAGUGUCGUGACUGUUCAAUUUUUUUUUUUAUUAUUUCUUUUUCUUCUUCAUUUUUUUUUUCUUCUUCCAACAACAAACAAUUCCAGCAGACCAAAUCCAACGGACGAACUCCGGCGGACGAACUCCGACAGACCAGAUCCGACAGACCAUAUAUGACAGACCAGAGUCGAUAGAGCAGAUCCGGCGGACCAUAGCAAUUCUGGUCCAGAUUCGGCAGACCAGAUUCGAC
RNAcentral lists this long non-coding RNA (302 nucleotides) under Capsella rubella. RNAcentral describes it as "long non-coding RNA (CRUB_LNC004356)". The record is from RNAcentral. Lineage: Eukaryota; Viridiplantae; Streptophyta; Magnoliopsida; Brassicales; Brassicaceae.